AGUGAACGCUGGCGGCGUGCUUAACACAUGCAAGUCGAACGAGAACGGAUUAUAGCUUGCUAUAAUUGUCAGCUAAGUGGCGCACGGGUGAGUAAUGUAUAGAUAACCUGCCCUUAAGAAAGGAAUAACAGUUGGAAACGACUGCUAAUGCCCUAUAUGCCUUUAAUACAUAAGUAUGCAAGGGAAACGCUUUAGUGCUUAAGGAUGGGUCUGUAUGGUAUCAGCUUGUUGGUGAGGUAAUGGCUCACCAAGGCUAUGACGCCUAACUGGUUUGAGAGGAUGAUCAGUCACACUGGAACUGAGACACGGUCCAGACUCCUACGGGAGGCAGCAGUGGGGAAUAUUGCACAAUGGACGAAAGUCUGAUGCAGCAACGCCGCGUGGAGGAUGACACAUUUCGGUGCGUAAACUCCUUUUAUAUAGGAAGAUAAUGACGGUACUAUAUGAAUAAGCACCGGCUAACUCCGUGCC
This 471-nucleotide ribosomal RNA is filed under the name uncultured bacterium. RNAcentral's name for it is "bacterial SSU rRNA". It matches the Rfam family "Bacterial small subunit ribosomal RNA", at positions 29 to 509 of the family's 1533-position model. The record is from RNAcentral.